This 39-nucleotide transfer RNA is filed under the name Gnetum raya. Its description in RNAcentral is "partial tRNA-Thr". Lineage: Eukaryota; Viridiplantae; Streptophyta; Gnetopsida; Gnetales; Gnetaceae. The record is from RNAcentral.
GCCUGCUUAGCUCAGAGGUUAGAGCAUCGCAUUUGUAAU